GGAGGAGAGAGAAGGGGGUGGAGAGAGAGGAGAAAGAGGAGGAGAGAGAAGGGGGGUGGAGAGAGAGGAGAAAGAGGAGAAGAGAGGAGAGAGGGGAGAAAGAUUAGGAGAGAGGGGAGAAAGAGGAGGAGAGAGCGAGUCUCCAGGCAGUUUUUAUUUUUUUAUUUUUUUUAUUUCACCUUUAUUUAACCAGGUAGGCAAGUUGAGAACAAGUUCUCAUUUACAACUGCGACCUGGCCAAGAUAAAGCAAAGCAGUGCGACACAUACAACGACACAGAGUUACACAUGGAGUAAAACAAACAUACAGUCAAUAAUACAGUAGAAAAAUAAGUCUAUAUACAAUGUGAGCAAAUGAGGUAAGAUAAGGGAGGUAAAGGCAAAAAAAGGCCAUGGUGGCAAAGUAAAUACAAUAUAGCAAGUAAAACACUGGAAUGGUUGAUUUGCAGUGGAAGAAUGUGCAAAGUAGAGAUAGAAAUAAUGGGGUGCUUUUUGGAGCAAAAUAAAUACAGUAGGGGGAGAGGUAGUUGUUUGGGCUAAAUUAUAGGUGGGCUAUGUACAGGUGCAGUAAUCUGUGAGCUGCUCUGACAGCUGGUACUUAAAGCUACUGAGGGAGAUAAGUGUUUCCAGUUUCAGAGAUUUUUGUAUUUCGUUCCAGUCAUUGGCAGCAGAGAACUGGAAGGAGAGGCGGCCAAAGGAAUAAUUGGUUUUGGGGGUGACCAGAGAGAUAUACCUGCUGGAGCGUGUGCUACAGGUGGGUUCUGCUAUGGUGACCAGCGAGCUGAGAUAAGGGGGGACUUUACUUAGCAGGGUCUUGUAGAUGACCUGGAGCCAGUGGGUUUGGCGACGAGUAUGAAGCGAGGGCCAGCCAACGAGAGCGUACAGGUCGCAAUGGUGGGUAGUAUAUGGGGCUUUGGUGACAAAACGGAUGGCACUGUGAUAGACUAAAUCCAAUUUAUUGAGUAGGGUAUUGGAGGCUAUUUUGUAAAUGACAUCGCCGAAGUCGAGGAUCGGUAGGAUGGACAGUUUUACAAGGGUAUGUUUGGCAGCAUGAGUGAAGGAUGCUUUUUUGUGAAAUAGGAAGCCAAUUCUAGAUUUAACUUUGGAUUGGAGAUGUUUGAUGUGAGUCUGGAAAGAGAGUUUACAGUCUAAGCAGUAAGGGUCACCACAUCCGAAAACAGAGUGAAAAGAGAGAGAGAGAAACAGGGAUAUAAGUGAGAGAGAAACAGGGAUAUAAGUGAGAGAGAAAAACAGGGAUAUAAGAGAGAAACAGGGAUAUAAGUGAGAAACAGGGAUUUAAGUGAGAGAGAAACAGGGAUAUAAGUGAGAGAGAAACAGGGAUAUAAGUGAGAGAGAAACAGGGAUAUAAGUGAGAGAGAAACAGGGAUAUAAGUGAGAGAGAGAAACAGGGAUUUAAGUGAGAGAGAAACAGGGAUAUAAGUGAGAGAGAGAAACAGGGAUAUAAGUGAGAGAGAAAAACAGGGAUAUAAGAGAGAAACAGGGAUAUAAGUGAGUGAGAAACAGGGAUAUAAGUGAGAGAGAGGAACAGGGAUUUAAGUGAGAGAGAAAAACAGGGAUAUAAGUGAGAGAGAUACAGGGAUUUAAGUGAGAGAGAGAAACAGGGAUUUAAGUGAGAGAGAGAAACAGGGAUAUAAGUGAGAGAGGGAUAUAAGGAUUUAAGUGAGAGAGAGAAACAGGGAUUUAAGUGAGAGAGAGAAACAGGGAUAUAAGUGAGAGAGAGAAACAGGGAUAUAAGUGAGAGAGAGAAACAGGGAUUUAAGUGAGAGAGAGAAACAGGGAUAUAAGUGAGAGAGAGAAACAGGGAUUUAAGUGAGAGAGAGAAACAGGGAUUUAAGUGAGAGAGAGAAACAGGGAUUUAAGUGAGAGAGAGAAACAGGGAGAAAGAGAAGAAACUUGGUCAUAACAAACAUGGACAUUGUUCUAUUGACACACUGUGUGCAACUCAAGACGUGAUUUUUGUAUUCUAUUUUUUUAUGCACUUACUUUCAAGUGAAACUCAGUCAUCUUGUUGUUCAUUGAGCUGAGAGAAGGCUGAGAGGGCGGUGUUGUGUUCCUUUGUCUCUGCUCUGCUAUUCUACUUCCUUUCUUUUGGUCCUUUUUUAAUGUUUUUUUUCUUCUUUUACCUCACACUUGGCAGCUUGUGGUUUAAUGUUUUUUAAAGGUGUCCUUCCACUUACAGUUUCCUACCUACACCUUCAAAAUGGACAGUUCAUUUCCGCCAUUUUGGGUCCAAACAACUCAGUUGGCAAUUAUUUGAAUGUUGUUUGUUUUCAUUCUCAGUAACCUUAACAACAGAUGCCCUGUUGUGCUAUUCUGACUGACAGGUCAGCUUUUUAUGAUGUUAUUCAGUUGGUCUGUUGGUAGUCAAGUUUGACAUGCUUUCUGGUUUGGACCACAUCCACACACACAGGCUCGCGCAUGGACACACACACACGCAGACAUACACACUGUGGCCUCUGUUUUGGGCUGUGGACUGGACUGGGGACGAUUAUGGUGGCUGUGUCUUUGUCAGUUAAACUGCCUGUCUGACUAGCUACUUUGUCUAGUGUACUCUCUAUCCUCUCUAUACACACACACACACACACAUUCGCGCACACACGCGCACACACACACAUUCGCACACACACACACACACACACACACAGACUGUCCUCUCUAUCCUCUGUUAGGCCUUGAAGGCUCUCCAUUGUACACAGAAGCCAUUUCUCUGUCACUCUCUGCCUGAGUCUCAACCACUCUGAACCAGUCUGGGUCUUUCUGGGCCCAGAAGCAAGGAGAUGGAUCUAUAUAGACAUACUGUACACCACACAUGCCCACGAACCCAUACACACCCACACACAGAAAUACACACACACACACACACACACACACACACACACACCUUUCUUUGUUUUUUCCCUGUCUUCUAUUUAUAUUAUGUCCUUUCUUUUCCUUCCUUCCUUCCUUCCUUCCUUCCUUCCUUCCUUCCUUCCUUCCUUCCUUACUUACUUCCUUUCUCUUUGCAUAAGAUGGUCAAAGAUGUCAAAUAAUAAAAUAGAUGUUUCUGUUUUUUCGCUGAAUUACAGAUCAGAUGGUUGGUUUCUGUCUGUGAAUCAAUGAAACACUUUAUUCAGGUUACUGGGGGAUGUGGUUUGUUUUGUAUGGCUGUUACAGUAAUACUGUGUUUGUUUGUUUUGGUGAUGGUAUAGAAGUUAGCGAUGGCUAGGCUAAUUUGGCUAGAUGUGUACAGGGAGAUGGAUUAAGGCAGGGAUUCAAUCAGAAACCACGCUGUAGUACGAUGGACAUUUAAAAGUCAUUUCUGAUUGAGCCGACGACUGGAAUGCUGCCUUUACAGUAACAUUGCCUUUAAAACGUUAAGAGCUGCAUUGUCUACUAGCAUGAUGGGAUGGAAUCCCCUGUCACCUGCUUUACAGCCAUGCUGUGCUGUGCUGUCACACAGGACCCACUAGGUGGCGUACGCUCCCUCUGUGAACAGAAGCUCUAGUGAGAGACACACACACACACACACACACACACACACACACAUAGAGACAGACAGGGAAUACUUUCUUUACAGAAGCUCAAUUGUUGUCCCAUCAACUGCUUGUCUAAUCCCCACUGACUGGUUUAGAAAGAGGGAGGGAUGUUGCCUAUACAAACACACACACACACACAAUCACAAGUGUAUGUGCACACACACACAACACACUUGAUCUGUCCAGUUCCGUCCAUCUUGCCCUUGAGAGAGUCAAGGCCAAACCCUACUGGGGGACAAGAGAUAGGGGUGGAGCCACACACACUCUCUCACACACACUGUUCCGCCACCCUGGCACCAGACCGCCAUGCUGAUGCCACCCGAUCCCUACUGGGUCCCAGGAGGACGUGUGUGUGUGUGUGUGUGUGUGUGUGUGUGUGUGUGUGUGUGUGUGUGUGUGUGUGUGUGUGUGUGUGUGUGUGUGUGUGUGUGUGUGUGUGUGUGUGUGUGUGUGUGUGUGUGUGUGUGUGUGUGUGUGUGUGCAACCAGCCCCUCUCCAGUGUCUGUAGGAAAUUAACCCACUGGGGUGCAUUGCCAGAUUCGACUAAUCACACACAUCCCGUCUGGGUUGUCAGAUUUCAGGCUUUUAUCUUUGCUGGUCUGCCUUUUCUGUCUUUUAAUAUAAGGUCACCGAUUGGCUGUAACUACUCUGUGGUGGGACAAGGUGCUUCUGAUUGGCUGUAACUACUCUGUGGUGGGACAAGGUGCUUCUGAUUGGCUGUAACUACUCUGUGGUGGGACAAGGUGCUUCUGAUUGGCUGUAACUACUCUGUGGUGGGACAAGGUGCUUCUGAUUGGCUGUAACUACUCUGUGGUGGGACAAGGUGCUUCUGAUUGGCUGUAACUACUCU
Long non-coding RNA from Oncorhynchus tshawytscha (Chinook salmon), 4384 nucleotides. The record is from Ensembl. NCBI's taxonomy places the organism in Eukaryota, Metazoa, Chordata, Actinopteri, Salmoniformes, Salmonidae.